RNAcentral lists this long non-coding RNA (767 nucleotides) under Olea europaea subsp. europaea. Lineage: Eukaryota; Viridiplantae; Streptophyta; Magnoliopsida; Lamiales; Oleaceae. The record is from RNAcentral.
CUCACUUCAAUGUCGAAGAUGAAGCUGGGAUGGACGAAAAUAAACAAAAGACUACUGCCACAGAACCAAGAUCCGACCCCGUUCAUAUCCCGAAAUUUUGAAAAAAUAAAGCUAAAAGCCCCCCCCACACACACACACAACCUGCGCUGGUAUUUGCAAUAUUUGGGCUGGGAAAAACCAACUUGAGAUUUCAUAAUAUUCGAAAUUUCUUGUUUAACCCCCGUAAUUAGUUACUUUAAUAUCGGACUUUUGCUAUUUUAAGAAAAUGAAAAAUCCCAUUUGAGAUACAAAACAGAUUGAUCAUUUGGUGAUGGGCAUGUCGAGAUUGGCAAUGCGAAUGAUGAUUUUGGUGCUAUGGUGUUUCUGGGCAGAAGCAGAGUUUAUGAAAUACAAAGACCCAAAGCAGCCAUUGAAGGUCAGAAUCAAGGACUUGAUGAGAAGAAUGACACUUGAAGAGAAAAUUGGGCAGAUGACUUAGAUUGAUAGAGAGAUUGCAUUCCCAGGAAUCAUCAUCAAGUACUUCAUUGGUAUGUGAUAGAUCCUAAUAAAGAUAGAUUCUAAAAUGUUCACUAGUUAGUUAGUAAGAGAGGUAAAAAUGUAAUAGGCUAUAGUAAGGGAUUGCCUGUAAAUAAAAGGGAAAAGAAUGGGAAAGGCAUGCAAAAUAUUGAGUAGUUGGUUGAGCCAAUUAGGAGAGAUCCAGCCUCUCGAAUUGCUUGGAGCUGUUAUUCAGUUCAAUAAACUUGUUAUUAUUUUCUCAAUUACAAAUC